RNAcentral lists this unclassified non-coding RNA (231 nucleotides) under plant metagenome. RNAcentral's name for it is "partial contains small subunit ribosomal RNA, internal transcribed spacer 1, and 5.8S ribosomal RNA". The record is from RNAcentral.
UCUCCGUUGGUGAACCAGCGGAGGGAUCAUUACAGAGUUGCAAAACCCCCAAACCAUCGUGAACGUUACCUAUCCCGUUGCAUCGGCGGGCGGCCCGGGCCCCGCGCCCGGCGCCCCCCGGCCCCCCGUGGGCGCCCGCCGGAGGUAAACCAAACCCUUGAAUUGCAUGGCCUCUCUGAGUCUUCUGUACUGAAUAAGUCAAAACUUUCAACAACGGAUCUCUUGGUUCUG